GCCGGACGCGGUGGCACGUGCCUGUAGUCGCAGCUACUCGGGAGGCUGAGGUGGGAGGAUCGCUUGAGCCCAGGAGUUCUGGGCUGUAGUGUGCUAUGCCAAUCGGGUGUCCGCACUAAGUUCGGCAUCAAUAUGGUGACCUUCCGGGAGCAGGGGACCACCAGGUUGCCUAAGGAGGGGUAAACCAGCCCAGGUCAGAAACGGAGCAGGUCAAAACUCCUGUGCUGAUCAGUAGUGGGAUCACGCCUGUGAAUAGCCACUGCACUCCAGCGUGGGGGCAAUGUAGCAAGACUCCGUCUCU
This 301-nucleotide signal recognition particle RNA is filed under the name Aotus nancymaae (Ma's night monkey). RNAcentral's name for it is "Metazoan signal recognition particle RNA (ENSANAG00000009232.1)". It matches the Rfam family "Metazoan signal recognition particle RNA". Rfam says of the family: The signal recognition particle (SRP) is a universally conserved ribonucleoprotein. It is involved in the co-translational targeting of proteins to membranes. Lineage: Eukaryota; Metazoa; Chordata; Mammalia; Primates; Aotidae. The record is from RNAcentral.